This 867-nucleotide ribosomal RNA is filed under the name Aureobasidium leucospermi. RNAcentral describes it as "eukaryotic LSU rRNA". It matches the Rfam family "Eukaryotic large subunit ribosomal RNA", at positions 68 to 955 of the family's 3401-position model. Lineage: Eukaryota; Fungi; Ascomycota; Dothideomycetes; Dothideales; Saccotheciaceae. The record is from RNAcentral.
ACAGGGAUUGCCCUAGUAACGGCGAGUGAAGCGGCAACAGCUCAAAUUUGAAAGCUAGCCUUCGGGUUCGCAUUGUAAUUUGUAGAGGAUGCUUUGGGUAAAACGCCAGUCUAAGUUCCUUGGAACAGGACGUCAUAGAGGGUGAGAAUCCCGUAUGUGACUGGAAAUGUUAACCUAUGUAAAGCUCCUUCGACGAGUCGAGUUGUUUGGGAAUGCAGCUCUAAAUGGGAGGUAAAUUUCUUCUAAAGCUAAAUAUUGGCGAGAGACCGAUAGCGCACAAGUAGAGUGAUCGAAAGAUGAAAAGCACUUUGGAAAGAGAGUUAAAAAGCACGUGAAAUUGUUGAAAGGGAAGCGCUUGCAAUCAGACUUGUUUAAACUGUUCGGCCGGUCUUCUGACCGGUUUACUCAGUUUGGACAGGCCAGCAUCAGUUUCGGCGGCCGGAUAAAGGCAUUGGGAAUGUGGCCUUCACUUCGGUGGAGGUGUUAUAGCCCAGUGUGUAAUACGGCCAGCCGGGACUGAGGUCCGCGCUUCGGCUAGGAUGCUGGCGUAAUGGUUGUAAGCGACCCGUCUUGAAACACGGACCAAGGAGUCUAACAUCUAUGCGAGUGUUCGGGUGUCAAACCCCUGCGCGUAAUGAAAGUGAACGGAGGUGGGAACCGCAAGGUGCACCAUCGACCGAUCCUGAUGUCUUCGGAUGGAUUUGAGUAAGAGCAUAGCUGUUGGGACCCGAAAGAUGGUGAACUAUGCCUGAAUAGGGUGAAGCCAGAGGAAACUCUGGUGGAGGCUCGCAGCGGUUCUGACGUGCAAAUCGAUCGUCAAAUUUGGGUAUAGGGGCGAAAGACUAAUCGAACUAUCUAGUAGCUGGU